RNAcentral lists this ribosomal RNA (465 nucleotides) under uncultured bacterium. Its description in RNAcentral is "partial 16S ribosomal RNA". It matches the Rfam family "Bacterial small subunit ribosomal RNA", at positions 28 to 507 of the family's 1533-position model. The record is from RNAcentral.
GACGAACGCUGGCGGCGUGCUUAACACAUGCAAGUCGUACGGUAAGACCCGUUCCUGGGUACUCGAGUGGCGAACGGGGGAGUAACACGUGAGUAACCUUCCCACAACUUUGGGAUAACGCUAAGAAACUGGAACCAAUACUAGAAAUGGGCUCCUUCUGCAUGGGGGUGGUUGGAAAGUUCCGGCGGGUUUGGAUGUACUCGCUGCCUAUCGGCUUGCUGGUUGGGUAGUGUGCUACCAAGACGGCGAAGGGUAGCCGGCCUGAGUGGGUGACCGGCGAUCCUGGGACUGAGAGAAGGCCCAGACACCUACGGGAGGGAGAAGUGGGGAAUAUUGCAGAAUGGGCGCAAGCCUGAUGCAGAAACGCCGCGGGCGGGAUGACGGUCUUAGGGUUGAAAACCGCUUUCAGCAGGGACGAAGCUUUUUGUGACGGUACCUGCAGAAGAAGCAACGGCUAACUACGUG